Molecule: small nuclear RNA, 163 nt
Filed under: Sipha flava (yellow sugarcane aphid)
Lineage: Eukaryota; Metazoa; Arthropoda; Insecta; Hemiptera; Aphididae
Description: U1 spliceosomal RNA
Rfam family: U1 spliceosomal RNA
About the family: U1 is a small nuclear RNA (snRNA) component of the spliceosome (involved in pre-mRNA splicing). Its 5' end forms complementary base pairs with the 5' splice junction, thus defining the 5' donor site of an intron.
Source: Rfam by way of RNAcentral
AUACUUACCUGGCGUGGAGGUCAACCGUGAUCAAAUAGGCGGUUCCUUCAGGGCGAGGUCGACUCAUUGCACAUCGAGGCGAUUGACCCCUGCGAGUAUCCCUAAUGUGGAUACCUCGGGCGCAGAAUUUUUGUUAGCUGGGACUGCGUACGCGCCGUCCCUU